This 239-nucleotide unclassified non-coding RNA is filed under the name Hevea brasiliensis (rubber tree). The record is from RNAcentral. Lineage: Eukaryota; Viridiplantae; Streptophyta; Magnoliopsida; Malpighiales; Euphorbiaceae.
AAAUGUUUUCAAACUGGACACUGGACUUUCGAGUGCAAGAAUGAAAGAGUUUAUAUGACGCGUCCCUCAAGGACACAGCAGCUUAAGAAUCCUAAAUUGAGGAUGAAACUUUCUAUCUCAUAUGAUCUUGAGAAUCCGGAUUCUAAGGAGGAGAAUGGUAAAUCAUCUAAGAAAAGUAAGAGGAAGCAUAGAUCAGAUUCUGAUUCUGGAAGUGAUAGUGAGGCUUCGGUUUUUGAGAG